GAGCUGGAUGUGAAGAAGGGUGAGAGACUUUUACUUUAACCUUAUAAAAUGAAUUUAGCUACAUAUGUUCUUACAUGAUCAGUACCACUAGUCAAUGAAGUCAGUCUAUAGUAUUAGACUAAGGUUGUGAUGUGUGUUUCUAUUGACAGAUGACUGCUGUGAGAAGUCAGUCUAUAGUAUUAGACUAAGGUUGUGAUGUGUGUUUCUAUUGACAGAUGACUGCUGUGAGAAGUCAGUCUAUAGUAUUAGACUAAGGUUGUGAUGUGUGUUUCUAUUGACAGAUGACUGCUGUGAGAAGUCAGUCUAUAGUAUUAGACUAAGG
RNAcentral lists this long non-coding RNA (322 nucleotides) under Salmo salar (Atlantic salmon). RNAcentral describes it as "lncRNA (ENSSSAG00000089755.1)". Lineage: Eukaryota; Metazoa; Chordata; Actinopteri; Salmoniformes; Salmonidae. The record is from RNAcentral.